AUCUCGGGCUCCUGAUCCGGUUCAACCACAAUAUCUUGUGGUUGUGACAACAGGGAACCCGGUGUGAAUCCGGGACUGUCGCGCAGCGGUAUCGGGGAACGAGGGUCACAUGCAGGCACUAUCCGUCAGGAUGGGAAGCCGUGAUCCAAGGUGAAGCGUCCAGAUUUUCCAGUGGAUGCUUCGUGCCCCCAAGUCCGAAUACCUGCCGGAAGGGCAUCUGUUUG
This 224-nucleotide non-coding RNA is filed under the name Thioalkalivibrio sulfidiphilus HL-EbGr7. RNAcentral also lists the same sequence under 1 other name. Lineage: Bacteria; Pseudomonadati; Pseudomonadota; Gammaproteobacteria; Chromatiales; Ectothiorhodospiraceae. The record is from RNAcentral.